RNAcentral lists this ribosomal RNA (496 nucleotides) under uncultured bacterium. RNAcentral describes it as "partial 16S ribosomal RNA". It matches the Rfam family "Bacterial small subunit ribosomal RNA", at positions 29 to 507 of the family's 1533-position model. The record is from RNAcentral.
AUGAACGCUGGCGGUGUGCCUAAUACAUGCAAGUCGAGCGAACAGACGAGGAGCUUACUCCUCUGACGUUAGCGGCGGACGGGUGAGUAACACGUGGAUAACCUACCUAUAAGACUGGGAUAACUUCGGGAAACCGGAGCUAAUACCGGAUAACAUGUUGAACCGCAUGGUUCAACAGUGAAAGACGGUCUUGCUGUCACUUAUAGAUGGAUCCGCGUCGCAUUAGCUAGUUGGUAAGGUAACGGCUUACCAAGGCAACGAUGCGUAGCCGACCUGAGAGGGUGAUCGGCCACACUGGAACUGAGACACGGUCCAGACUCCUACGGGAGGCAGCAGUAGGGAAUCUUCCGCAAUGGGCGAAAGCCUGACGGAGCAACGCCGCGUGAGUGAAGAGGGUCUUCGGAUCGUAAAACUCUGUUAUUAGGGAAGAACAAAUGUGUAAGUAACUAUGCACGUCUUGACGGUACCUAAUCAGAAAGCCACGGCUAACUACGUG